Molecule: ribosomal RNA, 253 nt
Filed under: uncultured bacterium
Lineage: Bacteria
Also listed under: 1 other name
Description: partial 16S ribosomal RNA
Rfam family: Bacterial small subunit ribosomal RNA
Source: RNAcentral
UACGUAGGGUCCGAGCGUUGUCCGGAAUUAUUGGGCGUAAAGGGCUUGUAGGCGGUUUGUCACGUCGAAAGUGAAAACUCAGGGCUUAACCCUGAGCCUGCUUCCGAUACGGGCAAACUAGAGGGAUGCAGGGGAGAAUGGAAUUCCUGGUGGAGCGGUGGAAUGCGCAGAUAUCAGGAGGAACACCGGUGGCGAAGGCGGUUCUCUGGGCAUUUCCUGACGCUGAGAAGCGAAAGCGUGGGGAGCAAACAGG